This 516-nucleotide ribosomal RNA is filed under the name uncultured bacterium. RNAcentral's name for it is "bacterial SSU rRNA". It matches the Rfam family "Bacterial small subunit ribosomal RNA", at positions 373 to 880 of the family's 1533-position model. The record is from RNAcentral.
GGGGGAAACCCUGACGCAGCAACGCCGCGUGGGUGAAGAAGGCCUUCGGGUCGUAAAGCCCUUUCGGACGGGACGAACGCUCCGCGGUGACAACCCGCGGAGUCUGACGGUACCGUAAGAAGAAGCACCGGCUAACUCCGUGCCAGCAGCCGCGGUAAUACGGAGGGUGCAAGCGUUGUUCGGAAUUACUGGGCGUAAAGCGCGUGUAGGCGGCCUUGCAAGCCAGACGUGAAAGUCCUCGGCUUAACCGGGGAAGUGCGUCUGGAACUGCUUGGCUUGAGUACGGGAGAGGGAGGCGGAAUUCCCAGUGUAGAGGUGAAAUUCGUAGAUAUUGGGAGGAACACCGGUGGCGAAAGCGGCCUCCUGGACCGAUACUGACGCUGAGACGCGAAAGCGUGGGGAGCAAACAGGAUUAGAUACCCUGGUAGUCCACGCGGUAAACGAUGGGCACUAGGUGUGGGGGGUAUCCACUCCUCCCGUGCCGAAGCUAACGCAUUAAGUGCCCCGCCUGGGGAG